Molecule: ribosomal RNA, 500 nt
Filed under: uncultured bacterium
Lineage: Bacteria
Description: partial 16S ribosomal RNA
Rfam family: Bacterial small subunit ribosomal RNA
Source: RNAcentral
AUUGAACGCUGGCGGCAUGCCUUACACAUGCAAGUCGAACGGCAGCACGGGAGCAAUCCUGGUGGCGAGUGGCGAACGGGUGAGUAAAGUAUCGGAACGUGCCCAGUCGUGGGGGAUAACGUAGCGAAAGUUACGCUAAUACCGCAUACGAUCUAUGGAUGAAAGCGGGGGAUCGCAAGACCUCGCGCGAUUGGAGCGGCCGAUAUCAGAUUAGGUAGUUGGUGGGGUAAAGGCUCACCAAGCCGACGAUCUGUAGCUGGUCUGAGAGGACGACCAGCCACACUGGGACUGAGACACUGCCCAGACUCCUACGGGAGGCAGCAGUGGGGAAUUUUGGACAAUGGGCGAAAGCCUGAUUCAGCCAUGCCGCGUGCAGGAUGAAGGCCUUCGGGUUGUAAACUGCUUUUGUACGGAACGAAAAGGUUUGGCCUAAUAAGCUGAGCUCAUGACGGUACUGUAAGAAUAAGCACCGGCUAACUACGUGCCAGCAGCCGCGGUAA